RNAcentral lists this long non-coding RNA (593 nucleotides) under Nicotiana benthamiana. RNAcentral describes it as "long non-coding RNA (NBEN_LNC012017)". The record is from RNAcentral. Lineage: Eukaryota; Viridiplantae; Streptophyta; Magnoliopsida; Solanales; Solanaceae.
AAAUAUUGGAUUGUAGGACUGAAGUCAUGGAGAACCAACAAUUGCAAGGAACCCUCUACUGCAGACUGAAGUCAUUGCGUAAGCUGGACAAAUUUCAAAUUCACCAGUUAUACCUUGUUAUGCUUCCUAAUUAUAGUAAGGUUGAUUGGAGGAAUGUGAUGCUCACUGCAAAUGUACAGCCAAGACAUAGGUUUACAGUGUGGCUAGCAGCCCAACACAGAUUACCUACCAUUGAAAGAUUGCACAAGAUUGGAGUUGAUAUACCUACUACAUGUGCUUUCUGUAAAACACAAGAUGAAAGAUUUGAACACCUUUUCUUUGCAUGUCCAGUCACUAACAGAUUAUGGCUUAGAAUCUGUCACUGGAUGGGAUACCAGCGAGCAGUUAACACUUGGGAGGAUGAGCUGCAGUGGAUAUGCAGCAAGGCUAAAAGUAAAAACUGGCAGCAGGCAAUCACUGCAUAUACCAGCGAGCAGUUAACACUUGGGAGGAUGAAUUGCAGUGGAUAUGCAGCAAGGUUAAAAGUAAACACUGGCAGCAGGCAAUCACUGCAACUGCUUUUGUUACUACUGUUGCAUUGAUAUGGAGGAACA